RNAcentral lists this non-coding RNA (29 nucleotides) under Rattus norvegicus (Norway rat). The record is from RNAcentral. Lineage: Eukaryota; Metazoa; Chordata; Mammalia; Rodentia; Muridae.
UCCUUCAGUCAGUGCACUGAUGAGUGGCU